CCCUUAGAUGUCCUGGGCUGCACGCGCGCUACACUGAUGUGUCCAGUAAGCACCUAACCUCUUCCGAAAGGAACGGGUAACCUUUGCAAAGCACAUCGUGAUGGGGAUAGAUUAUUGCAAUUAUUAGUCUUGAACGAGGAAUUCCUAGUAAGCACAAGUCAUCAGCUUGUGUUGAUUACGUCCCUGCCCUUUGUACACACCGCCCGUCGCACCUACCGAUUGGAUGGUCCGGUGAAGCCUCGGGAUUGUGGUUCUUGCCGCUUUGUUGUGGCGUGACCGCGAGAACUUGUCUAAACCUUAUCAUCUAGAGGAAGGUGAAGUCGUAACA
This 328-nucleotide ribosomal RNA is filed under the name uncultured eukaryote. RNAcentral describes it as "partial 18S ribosomal RNA". It matches the Rfam family "Eukaryotic small subunit ribosomal RNA", at positions 1470 to 1796 of the family's 1831-position model. The record is from RNAcentral.